This 254-nucleotide ribosomal RNA is filed under the name uncultured bacterium. Its description in RNAcentral is "partial 16S ribosomal RNA". It matches the Rfam family "Bacterial small subunit ribosomal RNA", at positions 524 to 776 of the family's 1533-position model. The record is from RNAcentral.
UACGUAGGGUGCGAGCGUUGUCCGGAAUUAUUGGGCGUAAAGAGCUCGUAGGCGGUUUGUCGCGUCUGCUGUGAAAUCUGGAGGCUCAACCUCCAGCCUGCAGUGGGUACGGGCAGACUAGAGUGCGGUAGGGGAGAUUGGAACUCCUGGUGUAGCGGUGGAAUGCGCAGAUAUCAGGAGGAACACCGGUGGCGAAGGCGGUUCUCUGGGCAGUGUCCUGACGCUGAGGAGCGAAAGUGUGGGGAGCGAACGGG